RNAcentral lists this ribosomal RNA (422 nucleotides) under uncultured bacterium. RNAcentral describes it as "bacterial SSU rRNA". It matches the Rfam family "Bacterial small subunit ribosomal RNA", at positions 355 to 774 of the family's 1533-position model. The record is from RNAcentral.
UGAGGAAUAUUGGGCAAUGCCCGAAAGGGUGACCCAGCAACGCCGCGUGGAGGAUGAAGGUCGUAAGAUUGUAAACUCCUGUUAGAGGGGAAGAAUAACUAAGUUUGGAGCUUAGUAUGACUGUACCCUCAGAGAAAGCCCCGGCUAACUACGUGCCAGCAGCCGCGGUAAUACGUAGGGGGCAAGCGUUGUCCGGAUUUACUGGGUGUAAAGGGCGCGCAGGCGGAAUGGAAAGUCAGUGGUGAAAUCCUACAGCUUAACCGUAGAACUGCCUUUGAUACUUUCAUUCUUGAGUUCGGGAGAGAGAGACGGAAUUCCAGGUGUAGUGGCGAAAUACGUAGAUAUCUGGAAGAACACCAGUUGCGAAGGCGGUCUCUUGGUCCGAUACUGACGCUGAGGCGCGAAAGCGUGGGGAGCAAACA